RNAcentral lists this transfer RNA (72 nucleotides) under Patescibacteria group bacterium. Its description in RNAcentral is "tRNA-Asn". It matches the Rfam family "tRNA". From Rfam's summary of the family: Transfer RNA (tRNA) molecules are approximately 80 nucleotides in length. Their secondary structure includes four short double-helical elements and three loops (D, anti-codon, and T loops). The record is from RNAcentral.
UCCGCGGUAGCUCAAAGGUAGAGCGACUGCCUGUUAAGCAGUAUGUUGUGAGUUCGAGUCUCACCCGCGGAG